CUCACUUUGUCGGGGUGCCCCAUACUUCUCUUGGGGCUGAGAUUAAACCCGUACGACCUGAUCAGGCUAGAACCUGCGUAGGCAACAGCAUAUGAAUACCU
This 101-nucleotide non-coding RNA is filed under the name Saccharophagus degradans. RNAcentral describes it as "TPP sequence". It matches the Rfam family "TPP riboswitch aptamer (THI element)". From Rfam's summary of the family: Vitamin B(1) in its active form thiamin pyrophosphate (TPP) is an essential coenzyme that is synthesised by coupling of pyrimidine and thiazole moieties in bacteria. The previously detected thiamin-regulatory element, thi box was extended, resulting in a new, highly conserved RNA secondary structure, the THI element, which is widely distributed in eubacteria and also occurs in some archaea. RNAcentral also lists the same sequence under 1 other name. The record is from RNAcentral. Lineage: Bacteria; Pseudomonadati; Pseudomonadota; Gammaproteobacteria; Cellvibrionales; Cellvibrionaceae.